CUUCCGUAGGGUGAACCUGCGGAAGGAUCAUUACCGAGUUCUCGGGCUCCGGCCCGAAUCUCCAACCCUUUGCCUACCUUACCUCUGUUGCUUCGGCGCCGCGGCGGCCUCGCGCCGCCGCCCGCCGGAGGACCCUCAAACUCCAGUCAGUGAACGUCGCAGUCUGAAAACAAGUCUAAUAAACUAAAACUUUCAACAACGGAUCUCUUGGUUCUGGCAUCGAUGAAGAACGCAGCGAAAUGCGAUAAGUAAUGUGAAUUGCAGAAUUCAGUGAAUCAUCGAAUCUUUGAACGCACAUUGCGCCCUUUGGUAUUCCGAAGGGCAUGCCUGUUCGAGCGUCAUUACAACCCUCAAGCUCCGCUUGGUAUUGGGCACCGUCCGCCUCGGCGGACGCGCCUCGAAGACCUCGGCGGCGGCGUCAAGCCCUCAAGCGUAGUAGAAUCUAUCUCGCUUUGGAGGCGCUGGGCGUCGCCCGCCGGACGAACCUUCUGAACCCACUUCUCAAGGUUGACCUCGGAUCAGGUAGGAAUACCCGCUGAACUUAAGCAUAUCAAUAAGCGGAGGAA
Molecule: ribosomal RNA, 566 nt
Filed under: Eutiarosporella dactylidis
Lineage: Eukaryota; Fungi; Ascomycota; Dothideomycetes; Botryosphaeriales; Botryosphaeriaceae
Description: eukaryotic LSU rRNA
Rfam family: 5.8S ribosomal RNA (bases 188-341)
Source: RNAcentral